CACCACUUAAAACUUAGCGGCGGACGGGUGAGUAACACGUGGGUAACCUGCCUUGAACAGGGGAAUAACAAUGAGAAAUCAUUGCUAAAACCCCAUAAGCUCACACUUUCGCAUGGAAGAGUGAGAAAAUAUUUAUAGGUUCAAGAGGGGCCCGCGUCUGAUUAGCUAGUUGGUAGGGUAACGGCCUACCAAGGCAACGAUCAGUAGCCGACCUGAGAGGGUGAUCGGCCACAUUGGGACUGAGACACGGCCCAAACUCCUACGGGAGGCAGCAGUGGGGAAUAUUGCACAAUGGGCGAAAGCCUGAUGCAGCAACGCCGCGUGAAGGAAGAAGGGUUUCGGCUCGUAAACUUCUUUAGGCGGGGAAGAAAGAAAUGACGGUACCCGCAGAAUAAGCCCCGGCUAACUACGUGCCAGCAGCCGCGGUAAUACGUAGGGGGCAAGCGUUAUCCGGAAUUACUGGGUGUAAAGGGUGAGUAGGCGGCCAGAUAAGUCAUAUGUGAAAGCCCUAGGCUUAACCUAGGGACUGCAUAAGAGGGUUAAGUCCCGCACGAGCGCAACCCUUAUCUUUAUUAUCCCGGGGUUAAGUCAGCUCACUAAAAGACUGCCCUGGAUAAUCGAGAAAAAUGAACAAACUCAAUCAUCAUGCCCUAGUCUUGUGGCACAACCCGGCUUCAUUGGGUCAUACAAUUGAGCAGAGAUUGUGUGAAUAUCAAUCAAAAGCCCGUCCAUGUAGUUGCACCGCACUUGAAUGAAUGCAUUUAUCUAUAC
RNAcentral lists this ribosomal RNA (771 nucleotides) under uncultured bacterium. RNAcentral's name for it is "bacterial SSU rRNA". The stretch from base 1 to 641 matches the Rfam family "Bacterial small subunit ribosomal RNA". The record is from RNAcentral.